Rhipicephalus sanguineus (brown dog tick) is the source of this 335-nucleotide long non-coding RNA. RefSeq lists it as uncharacterized. The record is from RefSeq and is a predicted model, not a curated record. NCBI's taxonomy places the organism in Eukaryota, Metazoa, Arthropoda, Arachnida, Ixodida, Ixodidae. The transcript is spliced from 3 exons.
GUCGGCAGGAAGAAAAGUUUUCAGCCAUCUUUCUUCGAGAUGCUUUCGAUUAAGACUGCCGCCUUUAGCUUUCUUGCUGUCACCCUCACGCUUAUCUAUCAAUUUGACGUAUCCAGUGCCAAGUUACAUUAUCACCAACAAACGGUUUGCAAUCCUUCUGUGCUCUGCUCCAAUCCGGAAAACCCUUUAGACGAUUGCGGACCAAACUGCAGGUGUGUUUACGGGAACAGUUUUGGUGCCGACGGGAGGAGGCUGAUGCAUUGUUCAGCCGAAUAAAAUUUUGUGGCGCAUGAAAACUGACUAAAACUUCCUAAUACAGCCCACAAAAAAAGAAA